GACGAACGCUGGCGGCGUGCCUAAUACAUGCAAGUCGAACGAGAGCGACCGGUGCUUGCACUGGUCAAUCUAGUGGCGAACGGGUGAGUAACACGUGGGUAACCUGCCCAUCAGAGGGGGAUAACAUCCGGAAACGGAUGCUAAAACCGCAUAGGUCUUCGAGCCGCAUGGCUUGAAGAGGAAAAGAGGCGCAAGCUUCUGCUGAUGGAUGGACCCGCGGUGCAUUAGCUAGUUGGUGAGGUAACGGCUCACCAAGGCCGUGAUGCAUAGCCGACCUGAGAGGGUGAUCGGCCACAUUGGGACUGAGACACGGCCCAAACUCCUACGGGAGGCAGCAGUAGGGAAUCUUCCGCAAUGGACGCAAGUCUGACGGAGCAACGCCGCGUGAGUGAAGAAGGUUUUCGGAUCGUAAAACUCUGUUGUUAGAGAAGAACAAGUGCUAGAGUAACUGUUAGCGCCUUGACGGUAUCUAACCAGAAAGCCACGGCUAACUACGUGCCAGCCGCCGCCGUAA
Molecule: ribosomal RNA, 514 nt
Filed under: uncultured bacterium
Lineage: Bacteria
Description: partial 16S ribosomal RNA
Rfam family: Bacterial small subunit ribosomal RNA
Source: RNAcentral